Molecule: ribosomal RNA, 253 nt
Filed under: uncultured bacterium
Lineage: Bacteria
Description: partial 16S ribosomal RNA
Rfam family: Bacterial small subunit ribosomal RNA
Source: RNAcentral
UACGGAGGGGGCAAGCGUUGUCCGGAUUUAUUGGGCGUAAAGAGCGUGUAGGCGGCCAGGUAGGUCCGUUGUGAAAACUCGAGGCUCAACCUCGAGACGUCGGCGGAAACCCUCUGGCUAGAGUCCGGAAGAGGAGAGUGGAAUUCCUGGUGUAGCGGUGAAAUGCGCAGAUAUCAGGAAGAACACCCGUGGCGAAGGCGGCUCUCUGGGACGGUACUGACGCUGAGACGCGAAAGCGUGGGGAGCAAACAGG